GUGCCAGCAGCCGCGGUAAAACGUAGGGGGCGAGCGUUGUCCGGAAUUACUGGGCGUAAAGGGCGCGUAGGCGGUUAUUUAAGUCAGAGGUGAAAACUACCGGCUCAACCGGUAGCCUGCCUUUGAAACUGGAUGACUUGAGGGCAGGAGAGGGGAGUGGAAUUCCCAGUGUAGCGGUGAAAUGCGUAGAUAUUGGGAGGAACACCAGUGGCGAAGGCGGCUCUCUGGCCUGUUUCUGACGCUGAGGCGCGAAAGCGUGGGGAGCAAACGGGAUUAGAAACCCCAGUAGUCC
RNAcentral lists this ribosomal RNA (292 nucleotides) under uncultured bacterium. Its description in RNAcentral is "partial 16S ribosomal RNA". It matches the Rfam family "Bacterial small subunit ribosomal RNA", at positions 505 to 796 of the family's 1533-position model. The record is from RNAcentral.